Non-coding RNA from Schizosaccharomyces pombe (fission yeast), 1079 nucleotides. The record is from the annotation of a GenBank genome assembly. NCBI's taxonomy places the organism in Eukaryota, Fungi, Ascomycota, Schizosaccharomycetes, Schizosaccharomycetales, Schizosaccharomycetaceae.
AAGGAGUAAAAGAUGCGUGGACUACAAUAAUACGCGAAGGAUCCGAAAAUGUCAUUACAUUAUACUGAAUAAGUAUAGGAUGAUUCUCCUUUUACGACGAAUCCAGCAAUGGCUUUAUAUAUUGGCACAUUUCCAUCCGUCAUGUCAACCACCAAAUGGAUGGACUGAUUAUCAAGAGCGAACAGUAGUACAGUACGCGCGACGUUUUCACGAGACAUCAUACAAUUUAUGGAUAUCUUACCCAAUGCAACUUUUCCAGAACCCUUCUCGUCUGUCAUACCAGAAGGACGUAAAAUCGUCCAAUCAAUAUCACUAGAGCGUCGCACUAAUUCCUGAUCCGCUAGGUACUUGUAAUGGUAAUAAGUUCCAAUUGACUGAUGUAUUUUCUCACUUAGCUCUAUAUCAGCAGCCGUAUAGUAAGGAGGAGGAGGUUGGCUCAUAUCACGAUUAUCUAUCGCAGAUAUCAUAAUUAAGCGUCGAAUACCAGCUAUCCUCAUAGCAUCAUAAACUUUUAUAGCACCUUCAUAAUCGACGGCUCUUGUUCGUUCAGGGCCGCCUUUACCUCCUGCACCGGCUGCAAAUAUAACAACAUCAGGGUGUAUUUCAGCUAAAAACUGAGCAAUAUCAUUAGGCGUCGCCUUCUCAAGUGAACAGACAGAAGUUCUGCCAUGCACUUUUUCAAUGUCUUCAUUCUGAACAUAAUCACGUACAACAUUGUAAACUAUAUGGCCAGCUUCUGUAGCAAUUUUAGUAAAAAGCAAGGCCACCUUUCCAUGCCCUCCAAAAACAACAAAAACAGUCAUUUCUUACAAAAUAAAAAUGCUGACGAUGAUUUCUUUAACCGUUGGGAAUCAAGAAUCCAAUAUAUCCUUCUCCCUUAUUGAAAAAGGAACUUAAUUAGCUGAUCCUUUGAAUAAAAGCAAUGGCAAUUGUUAAAAUGAGUAAUUUUUAGAAUUGGAAAUGCUGUGUAUCUGUCAAACCCCUCUUAAAAAAAGAAAGGAAUAAGGAAAAUGAAAACAAUCUACAAAAUUGAAUCGAAGAGACACACCACAGGGAAUGAGCAAAAGCACGGUUUACCU